Molecule: ribosomal RNA, 285 nt
Filed under: uncultured bacterium
Lineage: Bacteria
Description: partial 16S ribosomal RNA
Rfam family: Bacterial small subunit ribosomal RNA
Source: RNAcentral
AGCGAACGCUGGCGGCAGGCCUAAAACAUGCAAGUCGAACGCCCGUAGCAAUACGGGAGUGGCAGACGGGUGAGUAACACGUGGGAACGUACCCUUUGGUUCGGAACAACACAGGGAAACUUGUGCUAAUACCGGAUAAGCCCUUACGGGGAAAGAUUUAUCGCCAGAGGAUCGGCCCGCGUCUGAUUAGCUUGUUGGUAGAGGUAACGGCUCACCAAGGCUACGAUCAGUAGCUGGUCGAGAGGAUGAUCAGCCACACUGGGACUGAGACACGGCCCAGACUCC